UACAGGGGGUGCAAACGUUGCUCGAAAUCAUUGGGCGUAAAGCGCACGUAGGCGGUUCGUUAUGUCGGAUGUGAAAGCCCUUGGCUUAACCGAGGAAGUGCAUCCGAAACUGGCGAGCUAGAGUACGAAAGAGGAUCGCGGAAUUCCCGGUGUAGAGGUGAAAUUCGUAGAUAUCGGGAGGAACACCGGUGGCGAAGGCGGCGAUCUGGGUCGAUACUGACGCUGAGGUGCGAAAGCGUGGGGAGCAAACAGG
Molecule: ribosomal RNA, 253 nt
Filed under: uncultured bacterium
Lineage: Bacteria
Description: partial 16S ribosomal RNA
Rfam family: Bacterial small subunit ribosomal RNA
Source: RNAcentral